This 523-nucleotide ribosomal RNA is filed under the name uncultured bacterium. RNAcentral describes it as "bacterial LSU rRNA". It matches the Rfam family "Bacterial large subunit ribosomal RNA", at positions 236 to 744 of the family's 2925-position model. The record is from RNAcentral.
UCCCUGAGUAGUGGCGAGCGAAACGGGAACAGCCUAAACCGUUUGUUUUUUACAAACGGGGUUGCGGGGCUGCGUAAGUAGAGUAAAAAAAUUUUUCGAUAGACGAAAUGGUCUGGACAUGACUUACCAAAGAAGGUGAAAGUCCUGUAGUCGAAAUCGAAAAAUCUCGAAGCAGUACCCCAAGUACCACGGGACUCGAGAAAUCCUGUGGGAAUCAGGGAGGACCAUCUUCCAAGGCUAAAUACUAACUAGUGACCGAUAGCGAACAAGUACCGUGAGGGAAAGGUGAAAAGAACCCCGGUGAGGGGAGUGAAAAGAUUCUGAAAUCGUGCGCCUACAAGCCGUUGGAGGGCUAUGCCCGUAAGGGAAUGCCUGACAGCGUGCCUUUUGCAUAAUGAGCCUGCGAGUUACUAUUGGCAGCGAGGUUAAGUCUGUAGACGGAGCCGUAGCGAAAGCAAGUCUGAAAUGGGCGUAUAGUUGCCAGGAGUAGACCCGAAACCCGGUGAAUCUAUCCAUGUCCAGG